This 483-nucleotide ribosomal RNA is filed under the name uncultured bacterium. RNAcentral describes it as "bacterial SSU rRNA". It matches the Rfam family "Bacterial small subunit ribosomal RNA", at positions 32 to 524 of the family's 1533-position model. The record is from RNAcentral.
AAUCAACGCUGGCGGCGUGCCUCAGACAUGCAAGUCGAACGAUUAAAGCUCUCUUCGGAGAGUGUAUAGAGUGGCGCACGGGUGAGUAACACGUAAGUAAUCUACCCUCGGGUGGGGAAUAACAUUCGGAAACGAAUGCUAAUACCGCAUAAUGCAGCGGCUCCUAAUGGAGACAGUUGUUAAAGGAUUUAUUCGCCUGAGGAGGAGCUUGCGGCAGAUUAGCUAGUUGGUAAGGUAAUGGCUUACCAAGGCUACGAUCUGUAGCCGGUCUAAGAGGACGGUCGGUCACACUGACACUGAAUAACGGGUCAGACUCCUACGGAGGCAGCAGUCGGGAAUUUUGGGCAAUGGGCGAAAGCCUGACCCAGCAACGCCGCGUGAAGGAUGAAGUAUUUCGGUAUGUAAACUUCGAAAGAAUAGGAAGAAUUAAUGACGGUACUAUUUAUAAGGUCCGGCUAACUACGUGCCAGCAGCCGCCGUAAC